GUGUAACGCUGACUGGGCGAGAACAACUUCAUGCAGGCGUUGUUGCACAGUCGCCAGCUUCUCCAUGAUGCCUUUCUUCGUCCCCUUCAUGCACGUGCAG
This 100-nucleotide microRNA precursor is filed under the name Ovis aries (sheep). RNAcentral's name for it is "microRNA mir-337". The record is from RNAcentral. Lineage: Eukaryota; Metazoa; Chordata; Mammalia; Artiodactyla; Bovidae.